AAUCAGCUUGUGUGUCAGUGGAACGGUCUGGAAAGGCCGGCGAUACAGGGUGACAGCCCCGUACACGAAGGCACACAGGCUGUGAGCUCGAUGAGUAGGGCGGGACACGUGAUAUCCUGUCUGAAGAUGGGGGGACCAUCCUCCAAGGCUAAAUACUCCUGACUGACCGAUAGUGAACCAGUACCGUGAGGGAAAGGCGAAAAGAACCCCGGCGAGGGGAGUGAAACAGAACCUGAAACCGUGUACGUACAAGCAGUGGGAGCCUUCGUAAGAGGGUGACUGCGUACCUUUUGUAUAAUGGGUCAGCGACUUAUAUUCUGUAGCAAGGUUAACCGUAUAGGGGAGCCGAAGGGAAACCGAGUCUUAAC
Molecule: ribosomal RNA, 368 nt
Filed under: Cronobacter sakazakii
Lineage: Bacteria; Pseudomonadati; Pseudomonadota; Gammaproteobacteria; Enterobacterales; Enterobacteriaceae
Description: partial 23S ribosomal RNA
Rfam family: Bacterial large subunit ribosomal RNA
Source: RNAcentral